CGUGACUGCGGAGACAUUA
RNAcentral lists this ribosomal RNA (19 nucleotides) under Amylostereum orientale. RNAcentral's name for it is "partial 18S ribosomal RNA". The record is from RNAcentral. Lineage: Eukaryota; Fungi; Basidiomycota; Agaricomycetes; Russulales; Stereaceae.